UUCCGGUUGAUCCUGCCGGAGGUCACUGCUAUCAGUGUUCGACUAAGCCAUGCAAGUCAAAUGUUCUUCGUGAACAUGGCGGACUGCUCAGUAACACGUGGAUAACCUGCCCUUAGGAUUGGCAUAACACCGGGAAACUGGUGAUAAUACCGAAUAGACCAUUUAUGCUGGAAUGCUUUUUGGUUCAAAGGCUUCGGCUGCCUAAGGAUGGAUCUGCGGCCUAUCAGGUAGUAGUGGGUGUAAUGUACCUACUAGCCUACGACGGGUACGGGUUGUGAGAGCAAGAGCCCGGAGAUGGACUCUGAGACAUGAAUCCAGGCCCUACGGGGCGCAGCAGGCGCGAAAACUUUACAAUGCGGGAAACCGCGAUAAGGGGACACUGAGUGCCAGCAUAUUAUGUUGGCUGUCCACAUGUAUAAAAACCAUGUGUUAGCAAGGGCCGGGCAAGACCGGUGCCAGCCGCCGCGGUAACACCGGCGGCCCGAGUGGUGAUCACUUUUAUUGGGUCUAAAGGGUCCGUAGCCGGUUUGAUCAGUCUUCUGGGAAAUCUGACAGCUCAACUGUUAGGCUUUCAGGGGAUACUGUUAGACUUGGGACCGGGAGAGGUAAGAGGUACUACAGGGGUAGGAGUGAAAUCUUGUAAUCCCUGUGGGACCACCAGUGGCGAAGGCGUCUUACCAGAACGGGUCCGACGGUGAGGGACGAAAGCUGGGGGCACGAACCGGAUUAGAUACCCGGGUAGUCCCAGCCGUAAACGAUGUUCGCUAGGUGUCAGGGACGGUGCGACCGUUUCUGGUGCCGUAGGGAAGCCGUGAAGCGAACCACCUGGGAAGUACGGCCGCAAGGCUGAAACUUAAAGGAAUUGGCGGGGGAGCACUACAACGGGUGGAGCCUGCGGUUUAAUUGGACUCAACGCCGGU
Molecule: ribosomal RNA, 920 nt
Filed under: uncultured archaeon
Lineage: Archaea
Description: bacterial SSU rRNA
Rfam family: Archaeal small subunit ribosomal RNA
Source: RNAcentral